AGUGAACGCUGGCGGUAGGCCUAACACAUGCAAGUCGAACGGCAGCACAGAGGAGCUUGCUCCUUGGGUGGCGAGUGGCGGACGGGUGAGGAAUACAUCGGAAUCUACUCUGUCGUGGGGGAUAACGUAGGGAAACUUACGCUAAUACCGCAUACGACCUACGGGUGAAAGCAGGGGAUCUUCGGACCUUGCGCGAUUGAAUGAGCCGAUGUCGGAUUAGCUAGUUGGCGGGGUAAAGGCCCACCAAGGCGACGAUCCGUAGCUGGUCUGAGGGGGUGAUCAGGCAGCUGGACCUAGGACCAGGUCGAGACUCCUACGGGAGGCAGCAGUGGGGAAUAUUGGACAAUGGGCGCAAGCCUGAUCCAGCCAUACCGCGUGGGUGAAGAAGGCCUUCGGGUUGUAAAGCCCUUUUGUCGGGAAAGAAAUCCAUCUGGUUAAUACCCGGGUGGGAUGGCGGUACCCAAAGAAUAAGCACCGGCUAACUUCGUGCCAGCCGCCGCCGUAA
RNAcentral lists this ribosomal RNA (505 nucleotides) under uncultured bacterium. RNAcentral's name for it is "partial 16S ribosomal RNA". It matches the Rfam family "Bacterial small subunit ribosomal RNA", at positions 29 to 523 of the family's 1533-position model. The record is from RNAcentral.